Molecule: unclassified non-coding RNA, 216 nt
Filed under: Bombus terrestris (buff-tailed bumblebee)
Lineage: Eukaryota; Metazoa; Arthropoda; Insecta; Hymenoptera; Apidae
Description: misc RNA ENSBTSG00005036164.1
Source: RNAcentral
UCCAACCAAUUACAUUUCCACACAAUCUAAUUACAUAUUCAGAAGUCGAUUUCUUUUCUAAAUGAUCUCCUGCCUUAUCAGCGUCCACAUAACAAUCUAUCGUUUCACAUUUUUCAUUCCUUUUAUAAUCUAAUCUUAAUCUCUAGUCCGGUACAAAUAUUUCAAUAUUCGCAAAGCAAAUUUAAAAUGUGUCUCAUUACAACAAUCUUGAAAUCU